Molecule: ribosomal RNA, 461 nt
Filed under: uncultured Syntrophus sp.
Lineage: Bacteria; Pseudomonadati; Thermodesulfobacteriota; Syntrophia; Syntrophales; Syntrophaceae
Description: bacterial SSU rRNA
Rfam family: Bacterial small subunit ribosomal RNA
Source: RNAcentral
GCACAAGCGGUGGAGCAUGUGGUUAAUUCGAUGCAACGCGAAGAACCUUACCUGGGCUUGACAUCCCUGGAAUCCCCCGUGGAAACAGGGGAGUGCCCUUCGGGGAGCCAGGAGACAGGUGCUGCAUGGCUGUCGUCAGCUCGUGUCGUGAGACGUUGGGUUAAGUCCCGCAACGAGCGCAACCCUUGUCUUUAAUUGCCAUCAUUCAGUUGGGCACUUUAAAGAGACUGCCGGUGUUAAACCGGAGGAAGGUGGGGAUGACGUCAAGUCCUCAUGGCCUUUAUGCCCAGGGCUACACACGUGCUACAAUGGGUGGUACAAAGAGAUGCAAUCUCGCAAGAGCAAGCAAACCUCAAAAAGCCAUCCUCAGUUCGGAUUGGAGUCUGCAACUCGACUCCAUGAAGUCGGAAUCGCUAGUAAUCGCGGAUCAGCACGCCGCGGUGAAUACGUUCCCGGGCCUU